This 394-nucleotide small RNA is filed under the name Arabidopsis thaliana (thale cress). RNAcentral describes it as "ATSL154970". The record is from RNAcentral. Lineage: Eukaryota; Viridiplantae; Streptophyta; Magnoliopsida; Brassicales; Brassicaceae.
UUUUUUUUGGCAGGAAAAUAGAUUUACAAGGGAUUUUAAAAAGGUUUAAAACAUUUACAAGGGAUUUUAAAAAGGUUUUAAAAGAUUUACAAGGAAUUUUAAAGGGCUUUAAAAGACUUACAAGAGUUUUUUAAAGAUUUUUAAAGGGUUUAAAAGUGUUUUAAAAUAUUUACAAGAGAUUUUUAAAGGGUUUUAAAAGAUGUACAAGAGUUUUUACAAGAUUUUAAAAGAAUUUAUAAGAAAACCCUUUAAAAACUCUUGUAAAUCUUUAUAAAACAUUUUGUAAAGGUUCACAAGAGUUUUAAAAUGGUUCAAAAAGAGUUGUAAAUAUUUUAAAUACUUACAAUUCUUUUUCUAAGAGUUAAAAAAUGCUUGUAAAGACUUUAUAAUAGUU